CCUACGGGUGGCUGCAGUGGGGAAUAUUGCACAAUGGGGGGAACCCUGAUGCAGCGACGCCGCGUGAGUGAAGAAGCACUUCGGUAUGUAAAGCUCUAUCAGCAGGGAAGAAAAUGACGGUACCUGACUAAGAAGCCCCGGCUAACUACGUGCCAGCAGCCGCGGUAAUACGUAGGGGGCAAGCGUUAUCCGGAUUUACUGGGUGUAAAGGGAGCGUAGACGGCAGUGCAAGCCUGAAGUGAAAGCCCGCGGCCCAACUGCGGGACUGCUUUUGAAACUGCGCGGCUAGAGUGCAGGAGGGGGAAGCGGAAUUCCUGGUGUAGCGGUGAAAUGCGUAGAUAUUAGGAGGAACACCAGUGGCGAAGGCGGCUUACUGGACAGUAACUGACGUUGAGGCUCGAAAGCGUGGGGAGCAAACAGGAUUAGAUACCCGAGUAGUC
RNAcentral lists this ribosomal RNA (440 nucleotides) under uncultured bacterium. RNAcentral describes it as "partial 16S ribosomal RNA". It matches the Rfam family "Bacterial small subunit ribosomal RNA", at positions 338 to 795 of the family's 1533-position model. The record is from RNAcentral.